This 546-nucleotide ribosomal RNA is filed under the name Priestia megaterium. RNAcentral's name for it is "bacterial SSU rRNA". It matches the Rfam family "Bacterial small subunit ribosomal RNA", at positions 57 to 584 of the family's 1533-position model. Lineage: Bacteria; Bacillati; Bacillota; Bacilli; Caryophanales; Bacillaceae. The record is from RNAcentral.
GCAAGUCGAGCGAACUGAUUAGAAGCUUGCUUCUAUGACGUUAGCGGCGGACGGGUGAGUAACACGUGGGCAACCUGCCUGUAAGACUGGGAUAACUUCGGGAAACCGAAGCUAAUACCGGAUAGGAUCUUCUCCUUCAUGGGAGAUGAUUGAAAGAUGGUUUCGGCUAUCACUUACAGAUGGGCCCGCGGUGCAUUAGCUAGUUGGUGAGGUAACGGCUCACCAAGGCAACGAUGCAUAGCCGACCUGAGAGGGUGAUCGGCCACACUGGGACUGAGACACGGCCCAGACUCCUACGGGAGGCAGCAGUAGGGAAUCUUCCGCAAUGGACGAAAGUCUGACGGAGCAACGCCGCGUGAGUGAUGAAGGCUUUCGGGUCGUAAAACUCUGUUGUUAGGGAAGAACAAGUAUGAGAGUAUUUUUUCGUACCUUGACGGUACCUAACCAGAAAGCCACGGCUAACUACGUGCCAGCAGCCNCGGUAAUACUUAUGUGGCAAGCGUUAUCCGGAAUUAUUGGGCGUAAAGCGCGCGCAGGCGGUUUCUU